This 978-nucleotide unclassified non-coding RNA is filed under the name Hevea brasiliensis (rubber tree). Lineage: Eukaryota; Viridiplantae; Streptophyta; Magnoliopsida; Malpighiales; Euphorbiaceae. The record is from RNAcentral.
UUUCUAGACAGCAUAGAAUUAAAAUAUGUUUAGACAUAAAAAAAAAAUUUUCUGUACAAACAAAAGAAACCUUUAUAAUGCAUGAUUCAUUAAAAUUAUCAAAAUGUGUUGGAAUUUUGAAGAUUGUUUGAAAAAUUAUGAGGAUUACAUUACAGUUUUAUGUUAAAUUUUGUCUCAUAAAAACAUCAAAAAAUAAGUCUUGAACAUUACAGCUUUCUACUUUCUGAACUUCAAUAUCAUCUACCCUGAUUUUACCUUCAAUCAGAGGCAGUCAAGCCAGAUAUAACCAUAAUUCAUCCUUAACAAAUCAAAAUUUAAGAAGGAAUUUUUAAAUCUUUUUCCUUAUUCACAAAUUUGAAAUUCAACUUAGGUUCAACGGUGAAAUUAUAAAAAUAGUAUUGCAUUACCUUAGCCCGAGUAUCAGGUUUCUUACAGGCAUUCGACUUUGUUAAGGACAAUUUAUUCAACUUUUUAUGAUUGUGAUCAUUUUGAAAAUAUUAACUACAAGCUAACAUAUAUAAAUAGCAUCACCAGGUUAUCACAUUUUUAACCUGACAAUUUAGUGAAAAAUGAAAUUUAUCAAAAAUCCUGAAUUUAAUUUCACAAUUUCAGAGAUAAACAAGCAAACCUUCACAUGAACAGAGAAUUUGAUCUAAAUCAAUUUACAAUGGACAAUUGAACUCCACAAAUUAAUUUAAUUUUCCCAAUUUUAUUCAUAAGUUCCCACCAUCCAAACAGAAAAGAAAAAAAAAUGUAAUUCAAUAUCUGUCGUCCAAUACAUAAAUAACUCGAACCUGGCCAAUGAAUAAAAUCCAUGAAAGGUAAAUAAAUCAAAAUUAGAACUCUCAAAUCUUAUUCUAUCCUCGUAAAAACCGGAAAACCGUCUGAAUUACUUUCCAUAUACUAAAACACACAUGCCCAGUAUAAGAUCCAAAAAUUUUACUCUCAAAUCGCACACCUUCACACUAACCAGAAAGG